Brachypodium distachyon (stiff brome) is the source of this 127-nucleotide non-coding RNA. The record is from Rfam. Lineage: Eukaryota; Viridiplantae; Streptophyta; Magnoliopsida; Poales; Poaceae.
UUUGUACUUCCUCCGUUCCAUAUCAAGUGACUCAAAUUUGCACAAAUAUGAAUGUAUCUAUGAUUAAAAGGCGUCUAGAUACAUGUAAUCAAAAGUUUCACUUGAUAUGGGACGGAGGGAGUAAUAA